CAAUAGCGUAUAUUAAUGUUGUUGCAGUUAAAAAGCUCGUAGUCGGAUUUUUGUGUCAUGUCGAACUGUCUGCCGAUUGGUUUGUACGGUUUGACGGGCAUAUUCCUUCCAGAGGCUCCGUGAGGCCUUCAUUGGUUUCGCGGUUGAAUCUGGGUCUUUUACUUUGAAAAAUUAGAGUGUUCAAAGCAGGCCAACGCAUUGAAUACAUUAGCAUGGAAUAAUGGAAUAGGACUUUGGUCUUAUUUUGUUGGUUUCUAAGGCCGAGGUAAUGAUUAAUAGGGAUAGUUGGGGGCGUUUAUAUUCCGUUGUCAGAGGUGAAAUUCUUGGAUUUACGGAAGAUAAACUACUGCGAAAGCAUUCGCCAAGGAUGUUUUCAUUAAUCAAGAACGAAAGUUAGGGGAUCGAAGACGAUCAGAUACCAU
This 422-nucleotide ribosomal RNA is filed under the name uncultured eukaryote. RNAcentral's name for it is "bacterial SSU rRNA". It matches the Rfam family "Eukaryotic small subunit ribosomal RNA", at positions 592 to 1018 of the family's 1831-position model. The record is from RNAcentral.